GCCGGGGUGGCGAAAUCGGUAGACGCAGGGGAUUCAAAAUCCCCCGCCGCAAGGCGUGUCGGUUCGAGUCCGACCCUCGGCACCA
This 85-nucleotide transfer RNA is filed under the name Hydrogenophaga crocea. RNAcentral describes it as "Hydrogenophaga sp. BA0156 tRNA-Leu". It matches the Rfam family "tRNA". From Rfam's summary of the family: Transfer RNA (tRNA) molecules are approximately 80 nucleotides in length. Their secondary structure includes four short double-helical elements and three loops (D, anti-codon, and T loops). RNAcentral also lists the same sequence under 2 other names. The record is from RNAcentral. Lineage: Bacteria; Pseudomonadati; Pseudomonadota; Betaproteobacteria; Burkholderiales; Comamonadaceae.